Molecule: small nuclear RNA, 98 nt
Filed under: Octodon degus (degu)
Lineage: Eukaryota; Metazoa; Chordata; Mammalia; Rodentia; Octodontidae
Source: RNAcentral
AUGCUUGCUUUGGCAGCAUAUAUACUAAAACUGGAAUGAAGAUUAGCAUGGUGCCUUGCAAGGAUGACACGCAGAUUCGUGAAGCAUUCCAUAUUUUU